AGCCGUGUGGCGUAGUGGUUAAGUGCUUGCACUGCCGCUCACACGGUCAGGAGUUCGAGCCUCCUGUGGGUCA
RNAcentral lists this transfer RNA (73 nucleotides) under Sphaerodactylus townsendi. RNAcentral's name for it is "tRNA-Gly". Lineage: Eukaryota; Metazoa; Chordata; Lepidosauria; Squamata; Sphaerodactylidae. The record is from RNAcentral.